This 87-nucleotide small nucleolar RNA is filed under the name Purpureocillium lilacinum. Its description in RNAcentral is "A. fumigatus snoRNA Afu_300". It matches the Rfam family "A. fumigatus snoRNA Afu_300". The record is from Rfam by way of RNAcentral. Lineage: Eukaryota; Fungi; Ascomycota; Sordariomycetes; Hypocreales; Ophiocordycipitaceae.
GCUCCUGAUGAUCAAUUUCGUAACAAUAUACGCUGGAAAUUACCGGCUGAGUUUUUCUUUGACGACAAUAAAUGGCUAUUUCUGAUC